UACAGAGGGUGCGAGCGUUGUUCGGAAUUACUGGGCGUAAAGCGCACGUAGGCGGUCUUUUAAGUCGGGGGUGAAAUCCUGGAGCUCAACUCCAGAACUGCCUUCGAUACUGGAAGACUCGAGUCCGGGAGAGGUGAGUGGAACUGCGAGUGUAGAGGUGAAAUUCGUAGAUAUUCGCAAGAACACCAGUGGCGAAGGCGGCUCACUGGCCCGGUACUGACGCUGAGGUGCGAAAGCGUGGGGAGCAAACAGG
This 253-nucleotide ribosomal RNA is filed under the name uncultured bacterium. RNAcentral describes it as "partial 16S ribosomal RNA". It matches the Rfam family "Bacterial small subunit ribosomal RNA", at positions 524 to 776 of the family's 1533-position model. The record is from RNAcentral.